UACGUAGGGUGCGAGCGUUGUCCGGAAUCAUUGGGCGUAAAGAGCGUGUAGGCGGACUUAAAGGUCUGGUGUGAAAGCCCGGGGCUCAACCCCGGAGGGUCACUGGAAACCAUAAGUCUUGAAUCUGGAAGAGGAGAGUGGAAUUCCUGGUGUAGCGGUGGAAUGCGCAGAUAUCAGGAGGAACACCGGUGGCGAAGGCGGAUCUCUGGGCCAUAACUGACGCUGAGGAGCGAAAGCAUGGGGAGCGAACAGG
This 253-nucleotide ribosomal RNA is filed under the name uncultured bacterium. RNAcentral describes it as "partial 16S ribosomal RNA". It matches the Rfam family "Bacterial small subunit ribosomal RNA", at positions 524 to 776 of the family's 1533-position model. The record is from RNAcentral.